This 258-nucleotide ribosomal RNA is filed under the name uncultured bacterium. Its description in RNAcentral is "partial 16S ribosomal RNA". It matches the Rfam family "Bacterial small subunit ribosomal RNA", at positions 793 to 1055 of the family's 1533-position model. The record is from RNAcentral.
GUCCAUGCCGUAACGUUGGGAACUAGAUGUAGGGACCUUUCCAGGGUUUCUGUGUCGUAGCUAACGCAUUAAGUUCCCCGCCUGGGGAGUACGGUCGCAAGAUUAAACUCAAAGGAAUAGACGGGGACCCGCACAAGCGGUGGAGCAUGUGGUUUAAUUCGAUGAUACGCGAGGAACCUUACCAGGGCUUAAAUGUAGAUUGACAGGACUGGAACAGUUUUUCUUCGGACAAUUUACAAGGUGCUGCAUGGUUGUCGU